GCCAUGCGCAAUCGACUGUGCGAUUCUCUCCCACUUGAUCUGGCGCUAAGCCAUCUUUCUCUCUAUACUGAGCUCGAAUACCUAUAGUGUAUACUCCGUAGUGUACAGUGUUGUUUACUACAGUAAACAUAACCUGUGUUUUACUUGAAAACAAAUUAUGAAAAUAAUUAUAAUCAUAUUCUGCGAAAAAACUGCCAUCUUUCUCAAAAUGUAAGCACAAAACUAAUUCUACUUUUAAAUGCCUCACACUAAAAACGCAAGAUGUUGCUCGGUUUCACCAGAUUUUUUACAAAUUGAACAAUUAACUGAGCCAAGACAACUUUAUACUAAAACAUUGCCUUUUCUCCAAAUGCCAAAGAAAAAGGCUCAAAGAUCAGUCUAGAGGACCAAAGAAUUUAAGUGCAGAAUACUAUGUCACAAUAAAAAAUCCUUCAGGGUCAGGGUAUGCAAAACAGCUUUCAUUAAAAUAUUACAAGUGGGGAAAGAUAGAGUUACAGGCAUUCUACAGAGAUCGUAUAAAGAUGGAUGCAGUGUUACUAAAGAGAAUCGAGGUGGAAAUCACAAAAAAGAUAAAUAUGCACAGAGGCAAAGAAGUGUAAUGGCAUUUAUUGAGUCCAUAGAAGCAGCUGAACCUCAUUAUUGCAGGGCCAAAUCGUUUGUAAGUCUGUACUUGCCACCUGAAUUAAAUAUUAAAAAGCUGUGGAAAAUGUAUGAAGAGCAAAUUGCAAGUACCCCCUAUUUAAAGGUAAAACAAUCAUUUUUCAGACAAAUCUUUAACCGCAAGUACAAUGUUGGUUUUGGCUCUCCUCUGAAAGAUACCUGCUCCAGAUGUUCUGAAUUAAAAAGGGAAAUAGAAAGUACAAAUGGCCAAGAGAAACAGAUUCACAUAACCCAAAAAAGGUUGCAUAGCCUGAAAGCCAAAGCCUUUUAUGACUUAUUAAAAAAGGAAAAACGUCAUUCGAUUGCCAAAAAAACACGCGCGCUGCCUAAACUGCCCGACCAAGCGACUUACUUUAGUAGGCAGUUCAAUAUGAGCAAUUUUACAGUCGUUAUUGGUACAUCGAAAUCUGCUUUAGAUAACGUACGAACUUAUUACUGGUGUGAAAAUGAGCAUGCAAAAUCUUCAUCUGAAAUCGCAAGUGCAGUAUUCGACACAUUGAUCAGCUUGGAUAUCCCAAGCGAUAAAACAAGAGUAAGACUGUUUGCUGAAGGUUACGGUGGUCAAAACAAGAAUACAAUUUUAGUAGGCAUGUGCAUGAAAUGGUUGUAUUCAAAUGCACCACCACAUUGUAAAGAAAAUUGCAAUUAUAUUUCCCAUGGUUGGCCAUUUAUUCUUACCGCCCGACAGGGUAUUUGCAAUAAUUGAAGUAAAGUAAAGAAGAUGUCAGUCAUUUGCGACCUGUGCGAGAUGUGGGGGUGGAUGUUGAAGUGUAUGACUGGAAGAACGAAGUGAAUAAUGUAUGCAAACCUCCAGGCAGCUGGCAUUUCAAAUUUAAUGCUUGCAAACGAUUUAUACUGCCCUUGUACGCUGACACAAGGAGAGGAAAACUACAGAAGCGAAUAUACUCAGCCAAAAUAUAUGACUAAGAAAACAAGAAGUUGUGCGGAAUUGGAACCUGUAUUCCGCACAACGGAAUUGGAAUAAGACGAAAAGGGAAUAAAAUUAAUAUAAAAAAGAUUGCUGAUGUUUCGAACCUGUUAUCAAAACACGUUGGUGAAGACUGGAGAACUAUUGAGAGUUUAGCUUAUUACAGGGACAUUGAAGUUAAUAAUGACAAUUCCGAAGAACGCGAAGAUCUGGUAUGCGUACCGCUUGAAGAAAAUGAAAAUUGUGUUUGAUACAAUUUUGGCGAUAUUAAUUAAAGUUUAGAUUUAUUAUU
Molecule: long non-coding RNA, 1880 nt
Organism: Pieris brassicae (large cabbage white)
Lineage: Eukaryota; Metazoa; Arthropoda; Insecta; Lepidoptera; Pieridae
Exons: 2
Source: RefSeq, a predicted model, not a curated record